GGUUAAGCGACUAAGCGUACACGGUGGAUGCCCUGGCAGUCAGAGGCGAUGAAGGACGUGCUAAUCUGCGAUAAGCGUCGGUAAGGUGAUAUGAACCGUUAUAACCGGCGAUUUCCGAAUGGGGAAACCCAGUGUGAUUCGUCACACUAUCAUUAACUGAAUCCAUAGGUUAAUGAGGCGAACCGGGGGAACUGAAACAUCUAAGUACCCCGAGGAAAAGAAAUCAACCGAGAUUCCCCCAGUAGCGGCGAGCGAACGGGGAGCAGCCCAGAGCCUGAAUCAGUGUGUGUGUUAGUGGAAGCGUCUGGAAAGGCGUGCGAUACAGGGUGACAGCCCCGUACACAAAAAUGCACAUACUGUGAGCUCGAUGAGUAGGGCGGGACACGUGGUAUCCUGUCUGAAUAUGGGGGACCAUCCUCCAAGGCUAAAUACUCCUGACUGACCGAUAGUGAACCAGUACCGUGAGGGAAAGGCGAAAAGAACCCCGGCGAGGGGAGUGAAAAAGAACCUGAAACCGUGUACGUACAAGCAGUGGGAGCACGCUUAGGCGUGUGACUGCGUACCUUUUGUAUAAUGGGUCAGCGACUUAUAUUCUGUAGCAAGGUUAACCGAAUAGGGGAGCCGAAGGGAAACCGAGUCUUAACUGGGCGUUAAGUUGCAGGGUAUAGACCCGAAACCCGGUGAUCUAGCCAUGGGCAGGUUGAAGGUUGGGUAACACUAACUGGAGGACCGAACCGACUAAUGUUGAAAAAUUAGCGGAUGACUUGUGGCUGGGGGUGAAAGGCCAAUCAAACCGGGAGAUAGCUGGUUCUCCCCGAAAGCUAUUUAGGUAGCGCCUCGUGAAUUCAUCUCCGGGGUAGAGCACUGUUUCGGCAAGGGGGUCAUCCCGACUUACCAACCCGAUGCAAACUGCGAAUACCGGAGAAUGUUAUCACGGGAGACACACGGCGGGUGCUAACGUCCGUCGUGAAGAGGGAAACAACCCAGACCGCCAGCUAAGGUCCCAAAGUCAUGGUUAAGUGGGAAACGAUGUGGGAAGGCCCAGACAGCCAGGAUGUUGGCUUAGAAGCAGCCAUCAUUUAAAGAAAGCGUAAUAGCUCACUGGUCGAGUCGGCCUGCGCGGAAGAUGUAACGGGGCUAAACCAUGCACCGAAGCUGCGGCAGCGACGCUUAUGCGUUGUUGGGUAGGGGAGCGUUCUGUAAGCCUGUGAAGGUGUGCUGUGAGGUAUGCUGGAGGUAUCAGAAGUGCGAAUGCUGACAUAAGUAACGAUAAAGCGGGUGAAAAGCCCGCUCGCCGGAAGACCAAGGGUUCCUGUCCAACGUUAAUCGGGGCAGGGUGAGUCGACCCCUAAGGCGAGGCCGAAAGGCGUAGUCGAUGGGAAACAGGUUAAUAUUCCUGUACUUGGUGUUACUGCGAAGGGGGGACGGAGAAGGCUAUGUUGGCCGGGCGACGGUUGUCCCGGUUUAAGCGUGUAGGCUGGUUUUCCAGGCAAAUCCGGAAAAUCAAGGCCGAGGCGUGAUGACGAGGCACUACGGUGCUGAAGCAACAAAUGCCCUGCUUCCAGGAAAAGCCUCUAAGCAUCAGGUAACAUCAAAUCGUACCCCAAACCGACACAGGUGGUCAGGUAGAGAAUACCAAGGCGCUUGAGAGAACUCGGGUGAAGGAACUAGGCAAAAUGGUGCCGUAACUUCGGGAGAAGGCACGCUGAUACGUAGGUGAAGCGACUUGCUCGUGGAGCUGAAAUCAGUCGAAGAUACCAGCUGGCUGCAACUGUUUAUUAAAAACACAGCACUGUGCAAACACGAAAGUGGACGUAUACGGUGUGACGCCUGCCCGGUGCCGGAAGGUUAAUUGAUGGGGUUAGCGCAAGCGAAGCUCUUGAUCGAAGCCCCGGUAAACGGCGGCCGUAACUAUAACGGUCCUAAGGUAGCGAAAUUCCUUGUCGGGUAAGUUCCGACCUGCACGAAUGGCGUAAUGAUGGCCAGGCUGUCUCCACCCGAGACUCAGUGAAAUUGAACUCGCUGUGAAGAUGCAGUGUACCCGCGGCAAGACGGAAAGACCCCGUGAACCUUUACUAUAGCUUGACACUGAACAUUGAGCCUUGAUGUGUAGGAUAGGUGGGAGGCUUUGAAGUGUGGACGCCAGUCUGCAUGGAGCCGACCUUGAAAUACCACCCUUUAAUGUUUGAUGUUCUAACGUGGACCCGUGAUCCGGGUUGCGGACAGUGUCUGGUGGGUAGUUUGACUGGGGCGGUCUCCUCCUAAAGAGUAACGGAGGAGCACGAAGGUUGGCUAAUCCUGGUCGGACAUCAGGAGGUUAGUGCAAUGGCAUAAGCCAGCUUGACUGCGAGCGUGACGGCGCGAGCAGGUGCGAAAGCAGGUCAUAGUGAUCCGGUGGUUCUGAAUGGAAGGGCCAUCGCUCAACGGAUAAAAGGUACUCCGGGGAUAACAGGCUGAUACCGCCCAAGAGUUCAUAUCGACGGCGGUGUUUGGCACCUCGAUGUCGGCUCAUCACAUCCUGGGGCUGAAGUAGGUCCCAAGGGUAUGGCUGUUCGCCAUUUAAAGUGGUACGCGAGCUGGGUUUAGAACGUCGUGAGACAGUUCGGUCCCUAUCUGCCGUGGGCGCUGGAGAACUGAGGGGGCUGCUCCUAGUACGAGAGGACCGGAGUGGACGCAUCACUGGUGUUCGGGUUGUCAUGCCAAUGGCACUGCCCGGUAGCUAAAUGCGGAAGAGAUAAGUGCUGAAAGCAUCUAAGCACGAAACUUGCCCCGAGAUGAGUUCUCCCUGACCCUUUAAGGGUCCUGAAGGAACGUUGAAGACGACGACGUUGAUAGGCCGGGUGUGUAAGCGCAGCGAUGCGUUGAGCUAACCGGUACUAAUGAACCGUGAGGCUUAACCUU
RNAcentral lists this ribosomal RNA (2901 nucleotides) under Shigella flexneri. Its description in RNAcentral is "23S ribosomal RNA". It matches the Rfam family "Bacterial large subunit ribosomal RNA". The record is from RNAcentral. Lineage: Bacteria; Pseudomonadati; Pseudomonadota; Gammaproteobacteria; Enterobacterales; Enterobacteriaceae.